CUUUUUCUAAAAUAGGAGAUUUCAUGUUUUCCUUGUAUGUGCUGCUAAUUCUAUAAAAACGGAAAAGUCUGUAAAUUUGGGUUUUUGCUUCAUUUGAUUUCUGAGGUAGAAAACCAGAUAACCUAGGCAAUUUGAAAACAGCCAGAUCAAUGUCUUUUCUUAAUUUAUAAAUAAAUGAUGAUCAUUCCAUUCUGAGAGAGUGUUUCACUCGAGUUCGCGUCCACACGCGAGCACAGCCUCUUUGCAGCUCCUCCGUCGCUGGUCCAUACCCACCACCAGUUCUCCAUGGAUGACAAUAUAACUGUGCUCCUUGCCAUCAUCAACAAUGGCUCCAGCAUGUGCAAAGCCGGCUUCGCAGGUGACAAUGCUCAUCUUCCCCUCCAUCGUGGGCCACCCUAGGCACUAGAGAGUGAUGGUGGGUGUGGGUCAGAUGGACUCCUACAUGGCGACGAGGCCCAGAGCAAGAGAGGCAUCCCGACCCUGAAGUACCCCAUUGAACAAGGCGUUGUCACCACCUGGGACGAUAUGGAGAAGAUCUGGCACCACACUUUCUACAAUGAGCUGCGUGGGGCUCCUGAGGAGCACCCUGUGCUGCUCACCGAGGCCCCCCUGAACCCUAAGGCCAACCGUGAAAAGAUGACCCUGAUCAUGUUUGAGACCUUCAACACCCCAGCCUUGUCCGUAGCCAUCCAGGCUGUGCUAUCCCUGAAAGCCUCUGGUCGUACCACUGGCAUUGUGAUGGACUCCGGAGACGUGGUCACCCACACUGUGCCCAUCUACGAGGGCUAUGCUCUCUCUCACCCCAUCCUGCGCCUGGACCAGGCUGGCUGUGUGACCUGACGGACUACCUCAUGAAGAUCCUGACCGAGCGUGGCUACAGCUUCAUCACCCCAGCUGAGAGGGUAAUCGUGCGUGACAUUAAAGAGAAGCUGUGCUGUGUUGCCCUAGACUUUGAGCAGGAGAUGGCCACUGCCACAUCCUCUUCCUCCCUGGAGAAGACCUAUGAGCUGCUUGAUGGCCAGGUCAUCACUAUUGGUAAUGAGAAGUUCUGCUGCCCUGAGGCUCUUUUCCAGCCUUUCUUCUUGGGUAUGGAAUCCUGUGGCAUCCAUGAAACUACAUUCAAUUCCACCAUGAAGUGUGACUUUGACAUCAGGAAAGACCUCUAUGCCAACAGAGUGCUGUCUGGUGCCACCACUAUACCCAUUGCUGACAGGAUGCACCACCAUGUACACAUUGCUGACAGGAUGUAGAAGGAGAUUGCUGCUCUGGCUCCUAGCACCAUGAAGAUCAAGAGCAUUGCUCCUCUUGAGCACAAUAAAUGGAUCAGUGGCUCCAUCCUGGCCUCACUGUCCACCUUCCAGCAGAUGUGGAUCAGCAAGCAGUACAAUGAGUCUGGCCCCUCCAUCGUGCACUGCAAAUGCUUCUAGGCAAACUGUUACUGAGCUGCGUUUUACACCCUUUCUUUGACAAAACCUAACUUGUGCAGAAAAAUAAAAAAAUAAGAGACAACAUUGGCAUGUCUUUUUAAUUUUUUUAAAAAGGGUGUUUUAUUGGUUUUGUUUGUUUUUUGUUUUCUUUUGUUUUGGCGCUUCUGAGUCAGGAUUUAAAAACUGGAAAGGUGAAGGUGACAGCAGUCAGUUUGUACAAUGUGGCUGAGGACUUUGAUUGUACAUUAUUUUUUUGGUUUUGUUUUUUAAUAGUCAUUACAAGUAUCCAUGAAAUAAGUGGUUAAAGGAAGACCCUUACCCUCCAAAAGCCACUCCCACGCCUAAGAGAAGGAUGGACAAGUCCACACCCUGAGUCCACACCGGGGAAGGUGACAUCAGUGGGUCUGUGUAAAUUAUGUACUGCAAAAUUUUUUUUUAAUCUUCUGCCUUAAUGCUUCAUUUUUGUAUUUAAUUUCUGACUGUCAGCCAUCGUGGCUCCCCCUUUUUGGCCCCCCAACUUGAUGUAUGAAGGCUUUGGUCUCCCUAGGAGUGGGUUGAGGUGUUGAGGCAGCCAGGGCUGGCCUGUACACUGACUUAAGACCAUUUUAAUAGAAGUGCACACCUUACAAACACACAAACCAACAAAAAAGAGAGGAUGUUUCUGUCUGUAACAUGAUGUGUUUCACCAAUGUUUCUCUUCUUGUUUAUGUGCAUCAUUUAAGAUAAUGUGUAUUUAAUUUUUAUGCAUUAAAAAUAAAAUUGUCAACAAC
RNA transcript from Mus musculus (house mouse), 2197 nucleotides. It is a transcript of the gene named predicted gene 4750, with no coding region annotated. NCBI's taxonomy places the organism in Eukaryota, Metazoa, Chordata, Mammalia, Rodentia, Muridae. The record is from RefSeq and is marked validated. The transcript has a single exon.